RNAcentral lists this microRNA (22 nucleotides) under Apis mellifera (honey bee). RNAcentral's name for it is "ame-miR-989-3p". Its record names the gene ame-miR-989-3p. Lineage: Eukaryota; Metazoa; Arthropoda; Insecta; Hymenoptera; Apidae. The record is from miRBase by way of RNAcentral.
CGUGAUGUGACGUAGUGGUUCU